UCCUUCUCUUUUUAUCUUUUUCCUCUUUUUUCUUCGUAAUGGUACUAAAAUAAACAGUGCUUAUAAUGAAAGAUAAAUAAUUUAAAUUUGCGACAUUUUUCAAUAUUUAAACGAGAAAUACUAAACCAAAAGCUAAGCUAAUUGGUACAUAAAACACGCAUUUUUUUAAAACUUGAUCCAACGUCAAUUAAUGGAGUGGUGAUACUCGCGCGUUGAGAUACUCUCUCAAUUUCUGGAAGGGUGCCCUUCAGAAUCACACGUGGCCCAUCUAUGUGCCUCUUUGCAACCAAAACCCACGUGAUCUAACUGCCCUUCACAAUUCACAGAGCACUCACCCAAAGGGGGCAGUAGAGCUGUCACCGGCGUACCAAUGACUGUGCCAGUGCCACACAUGCCAAAUGCUGGCGCAUUGACGGAGUUUGUUUGCCCAUGACCGCUGACCGGACCCAAAUUUUCCAACUUCACAGAAAGGUUCACAAUCCCAUUGGUCCUGGAACCGUCUCUAGCCCGUAGCCGGUAACUCAAGUACCGUGCUGAACCGGCCGGCGGAAACCCAAUAUCUUGAGCAGAGAUUUGGCACCAGCCCAACUGGGUCCGGCCCAUUAUGAGCCGCUUGCUGUAAAGCUGCAGAUAUAUGCAAGAGUACCUGUUUGUGAAGAAACUUGUGUCCACAGGGACAUGAAAUUUGUCACCCCAUGUAGGGUUGAUACCUCCUUCAUCAUCCACCCCUGUGCUGUACACGUGGCACUUGUGAUCACCGUUGGUGGUGGUGAGGGUAAUGAAGGUUCUGAUCUUGUUUGAGAACGUAGUAGGGGAGGUGGUUUUGAGGCCUUGGGCUGAUAUCACUGUGAUCUCCAUCUUCAUCAGUGGCUAGUGAUUGUACUCCUUCAACAUGAUGUUAUUGAACUUGGCUUGGAGUUGAUUGGUCUAAUUAUAUACAUAUAUAUAUAUAUAUGAGUUUGUAUAUAUAUACAUAUAUACAUAUAUAAUAUAUGUGAAAGUGUGUAGCAAUAAUAGGAAAUUAAAUAUGAGAGAGAGAGAGAGAGAGAGAGGGUUCUUGGGAGCUUCAAAGGGGGUUAAUUACAGUGCAGUUUCCUUGUGGAAUAAAAAUGGAGAAUUUUGGAAAUGGAAUUUUGAAAGGGUGGAUGAUGCAGCUUUAUAUGACUCAUACACUCAAAAAAGCAAUGGAAUUUUCCCGCUUGCCAAGUCAACUAGAUAGACGGUUUUUGUGUUUUGAUGUUUUUCCCCUACCCAUAUGCCCGUCAGUCACUAAACAAAGUGUGCCAAUCAUUUUUAAUGUUUCUCUCGAAAGCAAUAGAGCCUAAGCUUCGCCACUUCUUGAUGAUCCGGAUCGUCUGUUUGAAUUUUCCCACUCAUUAUAUGUUUGUCUUUUAUUCUCGAUUACAAAUGAUUGUAAAUAUUUAAAAGUAAUUUAUGAUUUGCGAUAAUUCAUUUUUAUAGGUUGUUUAUUGUUAAUUAUUUUGUUUUUCUAUCAAAAAUAAAAUUAUACUAAUAUUAAUUUCUUGUAUAGAUAGUUGCUCAAACCUUGCAUUUAAUGUGGGGUCCAAAUAGUUGUCAAGUAGCAAAAGCCAGCUUCUUUCCUUGAUUUAUUUUUCCACCAAGUUGUCAUGCAGCAUACUGCGGAUGCACAUGUCGUUUUGUUAUAAAAUUUUCUUUAAUUUGCAAAUUGCAAGUGCCGUCUUUGGUCGUCUGCAUGAAUAUUUUUCCAUGCAAAUUAAUUUGCAGAGCAAUUUCAUGGUAGAAGUCUGGCAAAUGCGUAAACACAUGGGCGUCAAGAGGAAUUGAAGUCAACCCAAUUUUGCUGAUCACAUGCAUACAAAUUCCACUAAGCUUUUCAUAAUAUUAAUAGGUCAUGUUAGUGGUCGGCACAAAUAUACGAAAAACAACAACUAGAUAUUGCCAAAAGCAAACAAGGCAAAAAACAGUUUUGCCACUUUACUUUAUAGAUUGGUCCCAGCCCAGCUGCAGCAAAGCAUGUGUAGCUGAGGUGAGGGUUCACAUUAACAUUAUGUUCUUGGCAGAUUGUGUCGACUUUAGGGACCGAAAGUGAAGCACUUGUUGACUCACCACAAGAUCGGGAUAUUCAUUUACUUCUCAAUUUUCCAAAUUUUUGUUCUUUUUUUGUGUGCGUAUAUAUAUGUAUAAAGAAAAACAAUUAAUUAGGGAAAAUUUAAAUAUAUUGCAGUCGAUCGACAAAUUUAAUACUUGUAUUUGGUUUAUUAAUUUUCCGUUGUCUUUUAUUUUUUUCAUAUUUUAAUAGCUUAUGUUAACAUUGAAUAUUGGGAUCCUUAGAGAAUCUUGCUUGUAAUUAUAUUUGUUGUAAGUCUAGAUUGACUCUCAAUAAUUUCAUAAGGACAUUGCAAUAGACAAAAUUCAUAGAAUAACGAGUCAAUUUGUUACGUAUCAAUGAACCAUGAGGAAAGUUGAGUGGUCACAUGGCAAACAGAAAAUGAAAUAUACAGUGAGAUUAUAUAACAAACUACAUUUAUCUGAAUAGAGAUGAUUGGUUUCGAGUUGUUUUAGUCUCUGUGUGGAGGAGCUUUGUUUUUGGUUGGGUGAUGGGCCUCUUUGGCUUUUAGAUGGUGUUGGGGAGGAUUGGUCUUGAGUGGUUUGAUUUACUUGUAGUAGGUAUUUCACUCUUCUGAUUAGUCAUUAGUAUGAGAAGUACUUUAUACUCUGGGAUUUUAUUCCAUGUAGUUUUUUCCAAGAAGAUUUUAACGAGGCCACCGUUAACAUGCUCAUUUUUAUCAUGUAAUGUUCGGUUUGAGUGGUCACAUUGAUAAACAGAAAACAAAAUUUACAGUGAGAUUAUAUAACACAAACUACAUUUAUCUGGACCCAAAACUCUCUGUUUCAAUCCAUAAAAGUAAAAUUUGAGAACUAGUAGUAGAAAGGGCAAGGACAUCCAACUCAUAAAUUCCAUUCAAUCCAAAACCUGGAGUUAGAGUGCUAAAAUUUAGGAGACAUUUUGUAAUGCUUGUCGAUAAAUUAUAUGCAAUUGGGCUUAUAUCCAAAGUAGUUCGAUGCCUCGACAGAGAAAGCUGCAGAAUCACUAUUCAAGAACAAAGUCCUAUUUCCCCAAGGUCCUUGGCUCUGAAUCCGACCAAUUGCCAUAACUUAAUGGCACCUCAAAAUAUCUAAACCUAGUUUUUGUCGUAAACCUGUUCUCUCGUUUACUCCAUGAACUAGACAAAAUGGAAGAAAUGUAAUUAAAAAAAAAGCUAAAAGCCUCGUUUGUGCGUGUUUAGGGUCUUCAAUGUCACAAACCAAAACAUUCCCUUUCAAGUCCAGGGCAUAAAAUUGUCCCAUUGAAUGUCACAUACCUUUUGACAACGUCGUUGUUGAUGGGGAUCAAAAGUAAGAAAAGCUACCAUGGAAACUUUCUUUUUUGUGGCCCAAAAGGCUAGAAGAACCCUUAGUCGGCCCAUUUCUGUAGGCAUGCAUGCAUGGUCCAUAAAUUUCAAUUGAUAAUUUGGGACCGCGAAUGUGGGUUUGAUGAGUUGUAUGUGUGCUUGCUCGCCCAUUUAUACCCGAGUUCAAUUCUCUUCCAUCUCUAGUGUCGAAUAAACAUAAACCCCGGGGGGGAUUGCCAGGCACACCAUGAACAGUGUUUAUAAGAGGUUUUAGAGACUGUUCCAACAGUAUUUCUUCUAGCCAUCAUCCAACUUGUGUGAGUUUCUUUAGAAUAAUAAUGAAUGUAACGCAUCCAAGUGGCUUAACAUGGCUGUUUACUAAGAUGAAAAAUUGCUCAAAAUCCCUUAACGGGUCUUUUGCAAUUUUAGGCCCAAACAAUUAUCCUUACGGAUAACGAACCUGACAUGAUAGGUCCAUUGUCAAUUCUCAAUCAACCAUGAGCAUAGACGAUGGAUGACUCAAAUUGCCAAGCGAGACCGAAUUACGUGAUUUUUUGUUUUACAAAGCGGCAUUCUAGAUUAUACAAAGAAGGGAUCGAACUCAGAUGCAAAGAACGGACAACACUGAUUGGACACUAGCAAAAUGAAAAUGAACGAAAUCAUGCUAAUCUUGAAAUUAGCUAAAUUAUCACUAACAUACAUUCACCACAUUAGUCAAAUGUGGCGUGUUUCUGUUUGUCCGUCUGCUUUUGAAACAACAAACAACAAUUCAUGGAUAAAAUUUUGAAGGAAUUAAUUUAUACAAGCGGGCUCACAAUUUUGACUGUUCCCGCCCAACUCUUCUGGCGCUUCAUGGAUCAAGGAAAAAUUUCAUCCGCGCCCAAACUACGACGCACGCACGGCGUCGUUUCGCAGUUUCCAGAACACACUAGAAAAUCUGAUCCUUUCUUUCCAUAAACGACGUGACGCUAUCAGUCAUUUGACUCGCACGUGCGCACUUUUCUCCUCGUGCGGUGCUGUCCACUCUUCCAUUAUCCGGAAAAACAAAUCAUAAUCACCAUCGUCAUCCAAUCAAGUCCGUCACUUUCCGAGCUCCAGCCACGUGGAGUCCUGAUCGCGCUUCGAACUCCCAUCUGACGGCUCUGAUUUCAUCGCCUCAGACCCUUCCCGAUGCUGCUCCUCUUCCUCCUCGUCUCUCCGCACGCGCUUCACCCCAAUGGACACCCCAAAUAGCCUCGGCCUCGUCUCCUCCUCCUCGUCUUCCUCUUCCUCCGCCGAAGCCUCCGCCUUAGACCCCUCGCGAACGACACCAUUUUCAGACGGCUCAGCCUCCUGCACCGGCGACAGCUCCAGAGGCUUACCCUCAUCCAUUACACUCCCACCGCCACCGCCGCCGCCCUCCAACUGACCAGAAGCGUAGUUCGUCAUCAAAGCCAAUAUAUUGUUGCACAAGCCGCGCAGCUGAGUCAGCUCGUGACUUAGCUGCAUGUUCUCUUUCCUGAGCCGCUCGUUCUCUUCCAGAACGUCCGACGUGGUGGUGCAGCUCCGGAUUCGGCUCAACAUCGUAGCCGGAGGCGCCACCGGCGACGAGUUCGACGAGAUCACUUGCUCGUCGCCGGAGUUCGACGGAGAUACCCCGGGAGCCACCACAGAUACCGUCGCCAACGUAGCGGUAAUCGCCGCAGGCGACGCCGACACCGACGGCGAGAUUUUCCGGCGCUGAAUCUCCCGUAGGAGGCCUUUCUCACCUCUUUUGAAGCAAUCGUUCGCGAACUCCCACCGAUCCGGCACAACUUUCCGAAAUCCCUGCAAGUACAAUAGAAAUCGAUUAGAAAAUAGAAUAUUUACGUGCUUAAGUUUGUUUGGCUGCCGAGAAAGAGGAGGAAAGUGAGGGAAACAGAGAGGGCUUACGUAAGUGUUGAGCUGGCGGACGAAGCUGGAGAAGUUGUUAUGCUUGAAAUACUUGGGGAGCAAAUCUCUGGCGAAUUCGGCGGGUCGCCAGACUAUGAAGGCCGAUCCGUCUUCGCUCCACGAGAUCAAAUCGUCGACGGACGGAUCGUCCACCAGCUGAUACGUUUUGGUCAAAAACGGCGUCGGAAGCGUCCUUUGUGAGUCUCCACCUCCUCCAGCGCCGUUAACCGGGCCGGAGUCGCCGUUCUGGUCGGCCUGCAACGACGCCAUGGCCUCUAGGCCUUCGGCUUCUCAGAUCCGAGCUCUAAUAGCAACUGAUUUAUCAAAUAAGUAACUGUUGUUCAAUAUAACAAAUAAAUUAAAAUUAUUUAACGUUUCAAUUGGUUGCAGAGAAACCGUGGAGCAAUUAAAAAUAAAUAAAAAUUGAAGAAAGGAAAAUUCUGGAGGAAUUAAUUGAUUUAAUUUCAUGUAUGAAAUGUCUAGCAGCUUCAGAAAAAAAAAUUUUAAUUAAUUAAAUUAAAGGAAACGUAUGUACCUGGAAAGUGAGGCUUUGGGAUGAACAAAGUGUAGGGAUUUUCCCACCAACCAAACGGAAAACUGGAAAAGAAAGUUCGUUUCCUACACGAAAGCUAACUCUAUCUAGAACAGUGCUUGGGCUGUUGCACCAAGGCUUAACCAGAAGAAGCCGCAGCAGCUCCGAGAGAGAGAGAGAGAGGCGGGGAGAACUUCCCUGCUCUUUUUGUUGUUUCUAGAAGGUUCUGGGGUGCGUGGAGUAAAUGAUAGGAGCAAGACGGAAAAAGGGUAUUCGUGGGUUCGAGAAGGAAAGAGAGAAAGUAAUUGUUUUAUUUUUUUAAGGAAAAGGAGAUUGGAAAAGGGCAAAAACUGUGGGGGCCCACGGACAAGAGGGAGUGAUUAAACAACGGAUAGGAAGGCGCGAGAAGUAGGGGCUAAGAGAGAGAAUUAGUAGGUUUUUCUUCUAACGUCUUUUCCAGAAGCUUCUCCCAUUCUUUCAUUUUCUAUUAUUUUAUUAUUAUUUUUUGCCCAAUUUACGUUUUGUUCCCCGUAACUUGUUUAGUUUUUCAGGUUGGUCCCUGUUUUCUUUAUUUUGACAAUUUUCAUCCAUUGCUUUUGGAAGGUUGGCAAUUCUAGUCCAAAUUGACAAACCCAAAAACAAAGGACUUUUUAUUACAAACGAUACCUAAGAUUUACAAAAUUAUCAUAUUUUGUCCUUAUUGUUCUUUUGUAAUACUAAUGGUCCUUAAAGUUAGCUUUUGUACAACAAAAUGAUCCCUGUCGUUAAAUUCUGUUAAUUUUUUUGUUAAAUUGAUGACGUGGCAUAUGUGUGGAGUUCACACAUCCAAUGAUAUAAAGCCACGUAGCUUUAAAUAUAAUAUAAUAUAUUUUUAAAUAUUUUUAAAACUUAAAAUUCAUUUCACAAAAAUUAAAAGCAACUUAAAUUAUUUAUUUAUUUAUUUUUUUAAGUUUUAACAUAGAACUAAAAUAUCAAUUAACAUAAAUUUCCUAACUUAUCCUCAAUUCAAUUCCUUCUCAAUUAAUUCAUCCUCAUUCUCACUCGAUUACGAAUAAGUAAACAUGCCAUAAAUUCAACGUAUUAAUUAGCGUUAAAAAAAUCCUUCCAUUCUAUGGAGGCAAAACACUCUUUGGUUGUCGGCUGUUUUCUACCUAGUACUGCUCCUGGAGCUUUAAUGAAGUUAGGUUUGUGGAUGCCUUUGGAGGUAGGGAAUAUUAAUUUGUGAACCUAUUACAGUUUGAAAGGUUGAACUUUGUAUGUACAGUUAUAUAACACAUAGAACCAGUCAAGACAGAGGCAUGUAAAGUUGUUAUUGGACUUUGAUGAAUUGACAUGUAUUCAAAUAAGACUAAAACACCUUGUGACAGGUACAUUAUGAAGAUUGCAAUGGAAAAAUUUGUGAGGAAGGGGACCCAAAAUUAUUUUUUAUGGGUGUCUUUGUGCGACUUUUUGAAGUACAAAUAAUUCUAAGAGCAUUCACACAACACAAUCAAAGUAAUAUUAGAGAGGGGGAAUUCGAACAUAUGACCACAAAUGUAGGGCUAACUACUCUUGACCACUUGAGAUUGUGCAGAUUUAAAGGAGCUGGCUUUUGAGGGCAACUCUCACACGUGAUCUUCCUCUAUGUCUAUUUGUUUGCAGAAUCUCAAUCCUCAGCACGAUGAAUGUUGCAAAGAGUUUCAUAGUAACUAAACAACACAGAAAACAACAAAAGAGCUGAAACAAAUAAUCAAAAUGAAAAAAAAACAAUAAGUUCUAGAAGCUCCAUCUUGAUCCACAUCACCAGCCUUAUCUUCAACUGAUCCUCAUCUCCCAAGAUCAGCAGAAAGAUUUUGACUAGAAAUUACUUCAAUUUAAAGCAUUUCUUAGGGCUUCAGCAUGACCCAUGAGAGCAGCAUAACUAAUGCCUUCAAUAGAAUCCCCUAUAUCGUUAUUAUUGUGUUACUAAUUCACAUGUUAUGUUAUAUGUGAAUGCUACAUAUAUAAAAUCAUGAGUGGAAAUGAGUGGACGCGGUAUGACAUUCGAAAAUCUUCCCCCAUUUCACAUCCAACUUCCACUUAAUUUAAGUAGGACCAGUCCGAUGCUGCCACUGAAAUGCACAACAUAUUAGAGGUAUCGUCUCUUUUUUAUAUGGAAUUAUUCUGUACAAAUAUUCAUCUUAUUUAUUUAUUUAUUUAAAUGUUUUCCCUCUUUCAUUGAAAAUUAUUGCAGGUUGCCCGGUAAACUUCCUGUUGAAACUUUAUUAAUUCGUGGGUUCUUCUAGUAGCCCUUAGCCAGCUCUCUCUCUCUCUCUCUCUCUCUCUCUCUCUAGAUCAAAACGUUUUUAACAUUGCCCCCAUUGCUUAGCUGCUUAAAACUACAAACCCGCACGUCUCUGUGCUAAGAAAAUUAUCACAUCCUGAAACUGGUCAAAUUCCUCAGACAGUUUGGAUACAUUUAUUCUAAGAAAAUUCCAGACAUCCUAAUUCCAAGACCCAAGUAAACAUUUAUAGAAGCAAACGCAAGUUUAUGCUUCAAUUUGUUACCACACAACAUGCAUGGCAUAAUUCUUUUUCGAUAUUUAUAUAUACUUGCCAGAAAAGGAAUUUAUUCCCAUGAUGUGGCCCAAUUACAUUUCUUUUAAAUGGAAAAGAUAAAUAAAGGAAAAACACUAUAGUAGAUGAACAUAUCUAGCAGGACAUCAAAUAAUACAGUUUUAUUUCUCAAGGCAGUGGGAGGUAAGUCACUUAGACAAACUUCCGUGCGCUAAUGUACAAUUCCAUUCAAUACUUGGACUGGUAACCUCGUGGAUUGUUUACCGCCCACUUCCAUUGGUCCCUGCACAUAUCGUCUAUUCCGUAUUUUGCCCUGAAACCGAAGAUAUAAAAUUAGCGAAGAAGAAAAACUAUGCGGCGCCAGUCAUCAUCUUGAAGGAUCAAAAAGAAUGUUUUGCAUUUGCAUAAAAGAAGAGAUGAAAUCUACUUACUUCCACCCGAGUUCCCUUUCAGCUUUCUCUGUUGAAGCAUAAACAGCAGUAGCAUCUCCCGGCCUCCUUGGGCAUAGUUUGAUGGGGAUUUUCUGGGAUAUACACAAUUAAGACAAAGUUCCAUAAUGAAAAAUUGAUUGAGAAAAAGAAAGA
Molecule: long non-coding RNA, 8936 nt
Filed under: Prunus persica (peach)
Lineage: Eukaryota; Viridiplantae; Streptophyta; Magnoliopsida; Rosales; Rosaceae
Description: long non-coding RNA (PPER_LNC005429)
Source: RNAcentral